GGAGAGGAGCCCAGCGCUGAAUCCAAACGGUCACAGUGAUCGUUUUGAGCUGUAGCGUAUAGGUGCAACUAUCCCAUUGUUUUGUGCACUCAAAGUCCCCUUGAGCGGGGCCACAGUCCACAGAAGGUGCUAGACCUGUACGGGUGGCGAAGCACUGGGUUGGUUGUUCCUCGGAGUCGGGUUGCCUGAGAUCGCAGCUCAAAGUGGGUGGUAAACCUCAUCUAAGGCUAAAUAUGGCCACGAGACCGAUAGCAAACAAGUACCGUGAGGGAAAGUUGAAAAGAACUCUGAGAAGAGAGUUAAACGAGGACGUGAAACCGCUGGGAUGGAAACGAAUAGAGUUGACGAAACCUGCCGUCAUUCAACCGAUCAACUCUGCGGUCUUUCGUCUCAUUGUACCGCCGCUUUGCAGUGUGCACUCUCUCGGGUGCAUGCUGUAGGGCGCAUUGCUGGACAAUGGCGUGAGGUGCUGUUGAGUAGCACUUUUGUGUGUGUGUGCUGUGUGAUCGGUGCAUUUGAUGGUGGUAUGCGCCGAGAGCCGCGUUGUUGUGCGACAAAGCAUCUGUAGUGGACCGUAUGGUUCCCAUGCGGAAACCUGCGAAUGUGGAGGCGUAUCAUCGAUGCGGUACAAAUUGUAUUCGUAAACUUCCACCGUUCAUUCAUCGCAUACAUAUACUGCCACCUACCUCCUCCCUUACGGGAUGAUGGUUGUCGGGUGCUGUGUGUGUCACUGUGGUGUUAUUGGUACGGUGCGCUGCUGUUAACCAGGUGGGUCUAUACGUGCUGUGAUCGCUUGCGUAUCACGUACGGUUUGUGUGUGAUCAGUCUGGAUAGCAGAUGAGCAAAAAAAAAAAGUUUAAAUAAGCGC
RNAcentral lists this ribosomal RNA (868 nucleotides) under Paraleptus chiloschyllii. RNAcentral's name for it is "partial large subunit ribosomal RNA". It matches the Rfam family "Eukaryotic large subunit ribosomal RNA", at positions 99 to 628 of the family's 3401-position model. The record is from RNAcentral. Lineage: Eukaryota; Metazoa; Nematoda; Chromadorea; Rhabditida; Physalopteridae.